CAGUGUGUAGCUCUUUUAGAAUUUGUUUAGCAGGUUUUCUGGCUCUUUCUGGAAAGCCCCC
This 61-nucleotide small nuclear RNA is filed under the name Echinops telfairi (small Madagascar hedgehog). RNAcentral describes it as "U7 small nuclear RNA (ENSETEG00000024982.1)". It matches the Rfam family "U7 small nuclear RNA". From Rfam's summary of the family: Animal histone pre-mRNAs are spliced by a different mechanism than nuclear pre-mRNAs and self-splicing introns. Lineage: Eukaryota; Metazoa; Chordata; Mammalia; Afrosoricida; Tenrecidae. The record is from RNAcentral.